This 845-nucleotide ribosomal RNA is filed under the name Holarchaea sp. New Zealand. RNAcentral's name for it is "eukaryotic LSU rRNA". It matches the Rfam family "Eukaryotic large subunit ribosomal RNA", at positions 660 to 1447 of the family's 3401-position model. Lineage: Eukaryota; Metazoa; Arthropoda; Arachnida; Araneae; Anapidae. The record is from RNAcentral.
CACGGACCAAGGAGUCUAACAAGUAUGCGAGUCAAUGGGACUCGAUGAAGCCCAGAGGCGCAAUGAAAGCAAAGGACGGACUUGACUCCGUACAAGCUGGGAUUCCUCCGCCUCGUGCGGGGGACGCACCAGCGACCCGUCCUAUCCGAUUUAUCGGUGGGGCGGAGUCUGAGCAUAUACGUUGGGACCCGAAAGAUGGUGAACUAUGCCCGGGCAGGACGAAGCCAGAGGAAACUCUGGUGGAGGUCCGUCGCGGUUCUGACGUGCAAAUCGAUCGCCAGACCUGGGUUUAGCGACGAAAGAUCAAUCGAACCAUCUAGUAGCUGGUUCCCUCCGAAGUUUCUCUCAGGAUAGCUGGCACUCAUGAGAAAUCAGUCUCAUCCGGUAAAGCGAAUGAUUAGAGGCCUUAGGGCCGAAACGACCUUAACCUAUUCUCAAACUUUAAAUGGGUGAGAAGUCCGUCUUGCAUGACUGAAGACUGGACGUUUCGGAUGAGAGUGCCCAGUGGGCCACUUUUGGUAAGCAGAACUGGCGCUGUGGGAUGAACCAAACGCUGGGUUAUGGUGCCCGAUGCAAGACGCUCAUGAGACCCCACAAAAGGUGUUUGUUGCUCUAGACAGCCAGGCAGUGGACACGGAAGUUGUAAUCUGCUAAGAAGUGUGUAACAACUUACUGGCCGAAGCAACUGGCCCUGAAAAUGGAUGGCGCUCUAGCGUCGAGCCUAUACCCGGCCGCUGCGGCAGAACUCCUAAUAUGGAGGCUUAUGUCGCAGUGAGUAGGAGGGGCGCAACGGCGUGCGUUGAAGGUGCCGGGCGUGAGCCCGCCUGGAGCCGCCGUUGGUGCAG